Molecule: long non-coding RNA, 666 nt
Organism: Drosophila albomicans
Lineage: Eukaryota; Metazoa; Arthropoda; Insecta; Diptera; Drosophilidae
Exons: 3
Source: RefSeq, a predicted model, not a curated record
CUCAGAUACCUUUGCAAACAUAAUCUUAGUAAGGUUAUCUAGACGAUUGUAUAGUCUCGAUGUAUAGUCUAGAGAGUCCAGAGCUCAGAGUCAGUUCAAAUAAAACUAUUUAACUAAAUUUUUCAAAUACCGUUGCAAACAUAAUCUUAGUAAGGUUAUCUAGACGAUUGUAUAGUCUGGAGAGUCCAGAGCUCAGAGUCAGUUCGAAUAAAACUAUUUAUCUAAAAUGCUCCUUAAUUUUUCAAUUCUUCCCGGACGAACAUCAUCCAGUUGAAUCGAACCCGAAUCGAAUGACUAAAGAUAAUAGUCGCCCAUAAGAAGAAUGUACUGAAGAUGUUGGUGCUGUCAUAAAUGACUAUCAGCAUCAAUAACAUAGAACCCAUAAAUCGGUUGCUCAUUGAGUCUUUUCGUAAAGAGUCCAAGACCAAGAUAUUUUCGAUCUCUAGCCUUGCCUUCGUCACCUCAAGCCCCUUGGCCUCUGCGGCCAGCUCUUGCUCCUUGCAGCGGAAUUCUGCCUUCUUUCAUUCUAAAGUACCUUAUGCGCUCAUCAUAGUUAUCGCCCUCGCCGCCGCCCGUCGUCCCACCUCCUCCCCCACCUUGAACAUCCGUUGGCGUUGUGGCUGUUGCCUGCGGCGCAGGCACAGUAAGAGAAAACAGCUAUAAGGU